This 448-nucleotide ribosomal RNA is filed under the name Neoparamoeba sp. COHH 38. RNAcentral describes it as "bacterial SSU rRNA". It matches the Rfam family "Eukaryotic small subunit ribosomal RNA", at positions 1396 to 1827 of the family's 1831-position model. The record is from RNAcentral. Lineage: Eukaryota; Discosea; Flabellinia; Dactylopodida; Paramoebidae.
CUCGAUAAUGACUUCUUAGAGGGACACUUGGUGUUUAACCAAGGGAAGUUUGAGGCAGUAACAGGUCUGUGAUGCCCUUUAGAUGUUCUGGGCUGCACGCGCGCUACACUGAUACGAUCAACGAGUACUGAAGACCUGAUCCGAAAGGAUUGGGUAAACUUUUGAAAUCGUAUCGUGCUGGGGAUCGAUAAUUGUAAUUAUUUAUCGUGAACGAGGAAUUCCUAGUAAGCGCAAGUCAACAGCUUGCGCUGAUUACGUCCCUGCCCUUUGUACACACCGCCCGCCGCUGCUACCGAUGUUUGGUCCGGUGAAAUUUUAGGAUCCGCAACUGACACUUGUUUUACUUUCGGGUAGAACGAGUUUGUUGUGGAGAAUUUGAGUGAACCUUGCCAAAUAGAGGAAGCAAAAGUCGUAACAAGGUAUUCGUAGGUGAACCUGCAGAAGGAUC